RNAcentral lists this small RNA (527 nucleotides) under Histoplasma ohiense. Its description in RNAcentral is "hypothetical lncRNA". The record is from RNAcentral. Lineage: Eukaryota; Fungi; Ascomycota; Eurotiomycetes; Onygenales; Ajellomycetaceae.
GGCGAGAAACUAUCAUUGCUUUAAAAUAGAAAAGGAAAUAGAGAGAGGGAGAGAGAGAGAGAGGGAGGUGAGAGGAUUUUUGAAGACAGAACGCACUGUACACUCUUUCCCGAAUUAUUGACUGGAUUUGGAAUCACUACGAGAAGCGUCUACAGUUCGUCCACGGCGUGCAGACGAUGGCAAGGGAGAUAGAUGGAAAUGAGCCGCUGAGGGGGAAGAGCUUUUUGAUUGAGGUUGACGAUCUAUGACUGGGAAGCAAUUGGUCAUCAUGCCAUCUGAAAGGGAGCAGCUUGGAAGGAUGUUAGCAUUGAUACAGUUGCGAGGCUUUUUUUUUUUUGCCCAGCAGUCAGAGCUGUUUGCUCCAGACAACAUGAGGUUGGCGGAACCCUUCUGUUUGUCAAUUAGUUCAGUAACCUGAGUUGUUUUAGUAGGGGGUUUCGCAAUCUGGAUUGCGACCAACAAUCCAUGGCGGGACUGUAGAUAUAAUAUUUCACAUCCCUAUCUUUACCCCUCAAAUUCAACCAGCA